CCGCAACGAGCGCAACCCCCGCGUCCAGUUGCCAUCGGGUAAUGCCGGGCACUCUGAACGGACUGCCGCCGACAAGGUGGAGGAAGGCGGGGAUGACGUCAAGUCAUCAUGGCCCUUAUGUCCAGGGCUACACACGUGCUACAAUGGGUGGAACAGAGCGAAGCGAAGCGGCGACGCGGAGCAAAGCGCAAAAAGACACCCGUAGUUCGGAUCGGAGUCUGAAACCCGACUCCGUGAAGUUGGAAUCGCUAGUAAUCGCGCAUCAGCAUGGCGCGGUGAAUACGUUCCCGGGCCUUGUACACACCGCCCGUCACACCAUCCGAGUAGAGGGUACCCGAAGCCGGUAGUCUAACCGCAAGGAGGACGCCGUCGAAGGUACGCUUUGUGAGGGGGGUGAAGUCGUAACAAGGUAACCGUACUGGAAAGUGCGGUUGGAUCACCUCCUUUCU
Molecule: ribosomal RNA, 449 nt
Filed under: uncultured bacterial symbiont of Hodotermes mossambicus Hm1
Lineage: Bacteria
Description: bacterial SSU rRNA
Rfam family: Bacterial small subunit ribosomal RNA
Source: RNAcentral